GAUGAACGCUGGCUACAGGCUUAACACAUGCAAGUCGAGGGGAAACGACGGGGAAGCUUGCUUCCCCGGGCGUCGACCGGCGCACGGGUGAGUAACGCGUAUCCAACCUGCCUCUGACUGAGGGAUAACCCGUCGAAAGUCGGCCUAAUACCUCAUGGCAUCGUCUGCGGGCAUCCAACGACGAUUAAAGAUUUCAUCGGUCAGGGAUGGGGAUGCGUCUGAUUAGCUUGUUGGCGGGGUGACGGCCCACCAAGGCUACGAUCAGUAGGGGUUCUGAGAGGAAGGUCCCCCACAUUGGAACUGAGACACGGUCCAAACUCCUACGGGAGGCAGCAGUGAGGAAUAUUGGUCAAUGGGCGGGAGCCUGAACCAGCCAAGUAGCGUGCAGGAUGACGGCCCUAUGGGUUGUAAACUGCUUUUAUGCGGGGAUAAAGUGAGGGACGUGUCCUUCAUUGCAGGUACCGCAUGAAUAAGGACCGGCUAAUUCCGUG
This 491-nucleotide ribosomal RNA is filed under the name uncultured bacterium. RNAcentral's name for it is "partial 16S ribosomal RNA". It matches the Rfam family "Bacterial small subunit ribosomal RNA", at positions 28 to 507 of the family's 1533-position model. The record is from RNAcentral.